AGCGAACGCUGGCGGCAGGCCUAACACAUGCAAGUCGAACGAACCUUUCGGGGUUAGUGGCGGACGGGUGAGUAACACGUGGGAACGUGCCUUUAGGUUCGGAAUAACUCAGGUAAACUUGUGCUAAUACCGAAUGUGCCCUUCGGGGGAAAGAUUUAUCGCCUUUAGAGCGGCCCGCGUCUGAUUAGCUAGUUGGUUGAGGUAAUGGCUCACCAAGGCGACGAUCAGUAGCUGGUCUGAGAGGAUGAUCAGCCACAUUGGGACUGAGACACGGCCCAAACUCCUACGGGAGGCAGCAGUGGGGAAUCUUGCGCAAUGGGCGAAAGCCUGACGCAGCCAUGCCGCGUGAAUGAUGAAGGUCUUAGGAUUGUAAAAUUCUUUCACCGGGGACGAUAAUGACGGUACCCGGAGAAGAAGCCCCGGCUAACUUCG
RNAcentral lists this ribosomal RNA (432 nucleotides) under uncultured bacterium. RNAcentral describes it as "partial 16S ribosomal RNA". It matches the Rfam family "Bacterial small subunit ribosomal RNA", at positions 29 to 505 of the family's 1533-position model. The record is from RNAcentral.